Leptidea sinapis is the source of this 626-nucleotide long non-coding RNA. RefSeq lists it as uncharacterized. Lineage: Eukaryota; Metazoa; Arthropoda; Insecta; Lepidoptera; Pieridae. The record is from RefSeq and is a predicted model, not a curated record. The transcript is spliced from 4 exons.
AUUACUGGAAAUAUUCAAAAAAAAUUCUUAAAUAUUGGUGAUAUUGAAAAUAGCAAACAGUUCUAUUCAAGAUGUUGGUUUUAGUGGUAAAAUUAAUUUUGGUGUCCCUUUACGCUGCCAAUGCCAAUUCAGUUUCAUCGCUGGUUAAAUGCAAAGAGGAUGACAGCAAAUGCCUGAUACACUCAGUUCAAGCAUUUCUACCUACAUUUGCGGUUGGACUACCAGAAUUUCAAAUCGCACCCCUAGACCCCGUGACGCUUAUCAAAAUUAACGCUAGCACACCAGACUUAAGCCUGCUACUGGAAAAUGUGAAAGUUACGGGAUUAAAAGAAUGUCAAGUAAAGAAGUUCGAUUAUAAUGUGAAGAACUCCAAAGUUUUGGCAACAUUUUUAUGCAACAUUAAUGCUGUUGGACAUUAUAACAUGAAAGGAAAACUAAUAAUCGUGCCCAUAGAAGGGGAUGGUCAAUUUGAUGCCAAAAUUAAGAAACUUGCAGUAAUCGUAGAUGCUGAUGUAUCAACCAUACAAAAGAACGGAGUGAAAUAUUUCAACAUCAAAAAUUGGAAACAUAGAUUUGAGCUGAAAGAUAAAACUUCAGUUCACUUUGAAAAUUUGUUUAAUGGUAAC